This is a long non-coding RNA of Mytilus trossulus (common blue mussel), 510 nucleotides long. RefSeq lists it as uncharacterized. NCBI's taxonomy places the organism in Eukaryota, Metazoa, Mollusca, Bivalvia, Mytilida, Mytilidae. The transcript is spliced from 2 exons. The record is from RefSeq and is a predicted model, not a curated record.
AUAUUUUCCUAUACCGUAGAAUAUAUUAAAAGUGCCACCAUUACUAGGUAUAUCAGAAUAUAAGUGAAUAAUAGAUCUACAAUCGGAAAAAAGUACACAAGACAAUUAUACACAUAAGAAGGACUUACAGUUGACACACUGCCUACACAAACUGUGCGGAUCUAAUCAUCGCAUAAUAUGUUAACCCCACAGCUAGACAUUAUAUAUAUAUACUUGCAAAUGUCACAAACCUCAAAUAGCAAGGAUGACAAUAAAUAAUUCAGAAUAAAUUAAAAGUAACUGACAAUACAACAAGAAAGACGGUAUAUCAUUGGACCAGUAAAUCUUUAAUUAUUGGAUAGAAAAGAAUACAGUUCUAAGUAGUAGUGUAAAGUGAUACUACUAACUGCAAAGGAGACAACCGUAGACAACACACUUUAAUGAAAUUUGAAAUAAGUGACAGAGAAUAUACUUUUUAUGAAUACAGUGACAACAACAGGACUUUUUUUUAUAAUAAAUUUGAAGAAACUG